RNAcentral lists this small RNA (4731 nucleotides) under Pan troglodytes (chimpanzee). Its description in RNAcentral is "retained intron". Lineage: Eukaryota; Metazoa; Chordata; Mammalia; Primates; Hominidae. The record is from RNAcentral.
GAAAAGCAAAGCAAAGCCACUCACAUGAGGUCUUGCUCCUGGGGACUGGCAUGGCCAGGACUCCAACCCCGGCAGCCUGUCCCAGAGCCCUGGCGCUAGCCCCAGUGCAGUCUCUCCACCACCUCGCACUUCCUCAGGCCACCUUCCUGCCACAGCCUUUUCCCCAAACCUGGUAUCACCCCCUCUCCUCCCUCCCUAAUCCCACCUCUCGGGCCUGGCCACUCCACCCCACCCCUUCCAGGACUCAGAUUCAGACUCUGAGGGAGGAGCCGCUGGUGGAGAAGCAGACAGUGAGUAUCUUCCUGGAGGGACAGGGAGCAGGGUUCGGGGGGCGGGGGAUUUCAGGGCAGGGGUGUGGGUGAUACCUCCUCAACUCCAUCAGGAGUGACAUUCAAAGUAUGUAGCAGUGGGUUGGGUACCAGUGCCAGAGCAGGCUCCUGGAGGCCCCUGGCUGGGCCGGGCCUUGUGCCUUUAGAUGUGGGGAGGCCGGGGACCCCAGGGCUGGGGCCAGGGUGCUGGAGACAUCCAUGCCCCCUGGCUGAAUGCCCGUCGUGCCGCUGUCUCUCUUCUUUCCGGUCAGUGGACUUCCUGCGCAACUUAUUCUCCCAGACGCUCAGCCUGGGCAGCCAGAAGGAGCGUCUGCUGGACGAGCUGACCUUGGAAGGGGUGGCCCGGUACAUGCAGAGCGAACGCUGUCGCAGAGUCAUCUGUUUGGUGGGAGCUGGAAUCUCCACAUGUAAGUAACCCUUCUCCCCCAGCAGCUACCCCCAGGAACUGGGGAGUCCCUCCCAAGGGCUGGGGAGGAGCCCUAUCUGAGCCCUGUCCCAGGAGGGUUAGUAUGGUAUAGACCAACUGCUCCCUGACCCCCCUUUCCUAGCCGCAGGCAUCCCCGACUUUCGCUCUCCAUCCACCGGCCUCUAUGACAACCUAGAGAAGUACCAUCUUCCCUACCCAGAGGCCAUCUUUGAGAUCAGCUAUUUCAAGGUUUGUGCUCCCCCAGGAAGGGGCGUCUGUGAGGGGUGGGGAUGGGGUCACCUGGCUCCAACCCUCAUGCUACCUGGGGCAUCUGGCCCUCUGGCUGUCUCUCCUACAGAAACAUCCGGAACCCUUCUUCGCCCUCGCCAAGGAACUCUAUCCUGGGCAGUUCAAGGUGAGAUCUUUGUUUUGCAGGGGGCGAAACAGGAAGGGUUGGGGGAGGGCACGCAUGAGAAGCCCCCCCAAGGCCCUGCAGACAAAUAUUAUGUAGCCAUUAAGUACAUGGGUGCUGGGCCCAGACUGCCUCGGUUCAAGUCCUGGUUCCUCAUGUCUUCAUCUUACAACCUUGAGCCUCCGAUUUGCCUCCUGUGAAGUGAAGCUGAUGGUACUGUCUGAAGAGGGCUGCUGCGAGGCUUAGCUGACUAAUGAUGCCGUUGAGAGCCCGGGAACCUGCAGCCGGGCUGCCUGGGCGCGAAUCUCAGCUUUGCAGCUUACCCACCGUGUGACUUUGGCAACACAAUCCCCUUCCCUGUCCUUUAGUUUCCUCAUCUGUGAUCUGGGGAUAGCGGUGGUCUCUCCCCGACGCGGCUGCUGUGAUGGUUCCCUGGGGGUAAAACAGUCGCAGUGCCUAGAACAGUUCCUGGCAUGUGGCAGUGGCCUGUGGCUGUUCCCUACAGUCAUCAGCAGUGCUGUCGUUCUCCCCUGCAGCCGACCAUCUGUCACUACUUCAUGCGCCUGCUGAAGGACAAGGGGCUACUCCUGCGCUGCUACACGCAGAACAUAGAUACCCUGGAGCGAAUAGCCGGGCUGGAACAGGAGGACUUGGUGGAGGCCCAUGGCACCUUCUACACAUCACACUGCGUCAGCGCCAGCUGCCGGCACGAAUACCCGCUAAGCUGGAUGAAAGAGAAGAUCUUCUCUGAGGUGACGCCCAAGUGUGAAGACUGUCAGAGCCUGGUGAAGCCUGGUGAGCCUCGGGCCAGGGACCUGCCCAGGUGGAUUUGGGUGGGGGUCCCCUCCUCCCCCUGACCCCUUCCCAAAGGCCACACCCCCACACAUCUGGCCACCUCUGUCUCUCUGAACAGUGCCCCAGAUCCAUCCUGGGGAGAAUGGGGUCUGUGCCCCUGGCCGGUCCCCACUGCUUCCAACUCCCACCGUGGCCUCCGGGUCUGCCAUUGCUCCCACCUGUCCUCUCUGCCUCCCCAUGUCACUGUCUCUGUCCGUCCAUCUGUCUCCACCUCAGAUAUCGUCUUUUUUGGUGAGAGCCUCCCAGCGCGUUUCUUCUCCUGUAUGCAGUCAGUAAGUGGCCCCCCAGCCUCCCCGCAUCCCCAACCGCCGCCUCCACCUGUGCUGGGCCCCAUGGGGGUAGCCUGGGCCCUGCCUCAGGAAAGGUCACCUCCCCAGCUAUGGGGGGCGGCAGGGAGGUUUGCUGCUGGGGGCGGGGGAGGGAGCGGUGGCGCAGCCUGGGCGGAGGCUCCCAAGCUCACGCCCCUCCCCGCAGGACUUCCUGAAGGUGGACCUCCUGCUGGUCAUGGGUACCUCCUUGCAGGUGCAGCCCUUUGCCUCCCUCAUCAGCAAGGCACCCCUCUCCACCCCUCGCCUGCUCAUCAACAAGGAGAAAGCUGGCCAGGUAAGAGCCCUUCUUCAAGCCCCCCUCGUCACAGGCUCCCCCUUCCCUCUCACCCUUUUCCUCAGAGGGAACCCCCACUGUGGAACCCCAGCACUUUGCAUUCCUCAGCUCAGAACCUGGGGCUCUAGAAUCCAGAGGGGUCGGGUUCCAGGCCUCUGGGACAUUCACUGCCCUUUUGAGCAAGUGAUAGAAUUCCAACUCAAACCAGCUGAAGCCAGAUAGGAAGGCCGGGCUUCCAGGGACUGAGGAGGUGGGAGGGGGUGCAGGGGUCAGGAGAGACAGUGCGGGGGGGCGGGGGGGUGGGUCCACGCUCCGGGUCUCUCAGGUCUGUUUUUCCUGAGCAGCCUCACUCUAGGGCAGGUGCUCCCUCCUGGGUAUUCCCCUCAGGGGAAGUAGGCAGGGUCACCGGGCAAGCAGCGCACACUGUGGGCAGACACUGUCCCAAGCCUUAGCCUGCGUGAACUCACUGACGCCACAACCCCAUCGCGGUUUUGUGAUCACCCCUAUUCUACAGGAAACUAAGACACAGAGAGGACAAGUCACUUGACCAAAGUCACAGAGCUGGCUGGGCGCAAUGGCUCAUGCCUGUAAUUCCAGCAAUUUGGGAGGCGAAGGCGGGUGGAUCACCUGAGGUCAGGAGUUCGAGACCAGCCUGACCAACAUGGUGAAACCCCGUCUCUACUAAUAAUACAAAAUUAGCCAGGCAUGGUGCUGGGCACCUGUAAUCCAAGCUACUCGGGAGGUUGAGGCGGGAGAAUCACUUGAACCCAGGAGGUGGAGGUUGCAGUGAGCCGAGAUCACAUCAUUGUACUCCAGCCUGGGCAACAAGAGUGAAACUUUGUCUCAAAAAAAACCAAAAAAACAAACAAAAAAACAAAGUCACAGAGCUAGGAUACAAACCCAGGCCACCUGGCUCCAGGGUCUGUGCUCUUAGCUCUCCCUUCCCUGCUCCUGCCCCUGCCCCACCCCCUCCCUGACAGUCGGACCCUUUCCUGGGGAUGAUUAUGGGCCUCGGAGGAGGCAUGGACUUUGACUCCAAGAAGGCCUACAGGUGAGGCCCCACCGGGGGUUGGGGCAGCCUGGAAGGGACAGGGUGAGGUGGCGGGGGCGGGGGCACGAAGGCAGAUGAGAGGAGCAGGCAGGGGCGAGCCCGCCUGGGAACUCUGAUCUCCUGCUGCACCGCAGGGACGUGGCCUGGCUGGGUGAAUGCGACCAGGGCUGCCUGGCCCUUGCUGAGCUCCUUGGAUGGAAGGUGAGCUGAGCAACCCCAGCCUGUCCUGAGCCCCAUCCCUGGACCCUCUCCCCACCCCAUGGGUCCUCUGACCCCAUGAUGCACAGUGACCUUUGACUUCUGUGACCUUUGCUCCUGCAGAAGGAGCUGGAGGACCUUGUCCGGAGGGAGCACGCCAGCAUAGAUGCCCAGUCGGGGGCGGGGGUCCCCAACCCCAGCACUUCAGCUUCCCCCAAGAAGUCCCCGCCACCUGCCAAGGAUGAGGCCAGGACAACAGAGAGGGAGAAACCCCAGUGACAGCCGCAUCUCCCAGGCGGGAUGCCGAGCUCCUCAGGGACAGCUGAGCCCCAACCAGGCCUGGCCCCUUCUUAACCAGCAGUUCUUGUCUGGGGAGCUCAGAACAUCCCCCAAUCUCUUACAACUCCCUCCCCAAAACUGGGGUCCCAGCAACCCUGGCCCCCAACCCCAGCAAAUCUCUAACACCUCCUAGAGGCCAAGGCUUAAACAGGCAUCUCUACCAGCCCCGCUGUCUCUAACCACUCCUGGGCUAAGGAGUAACCUCCCUCAUCUCUAACUGCCCCCACGGGGCCAGGGCUACCCCAGAACUUUUAACUCUUCCAGGACAGGGAGCUUCGGGCCCCCACUCUGUCUCCUGCCCCCAGGGGCCUGUGGCUAAGUAAACCAUACCUAACCUACCCCAGUGUGGGUGUGGGCCUCUGAAUAUAACCCAUACCCAGCGUAGGGGGAGUCUGAGCCGGGAGGGCUCCCGAGUCUCUGCCUUCAGCUCCCAAAGUGGGUGGUGGGCCCCCUUCACGUGGGACCCACUUCCCAUGCUGGAUGGGCAGAAGACAUUGCUUAUUGGAGACAAAUUAAAAACAAAAACAACUAACAAUCC